This 82-nucleotide transfer RNA is filed under the name Candidatus Organicella extenuata. Its description in RNAcentral is "tRNA-Leu". It matches the Rfam family "tRNA". From Rfam's summary of the family: Transfer RNA (tRNA) molecules are approximately 80 nucleotides in length. Lineage: Bacteria; Pseudomonadati; Verrucomicrobiota. The record is from RNAcentral.
GCUUGGAUGGUGGAAUUGGUAUACACGUUAGAUUUAGGAUCUAAUACUUUCGGGUUUGUGGGUUCAAGUCCCACUCUAAGUA